GUCUGGCUGGGGAGGGUGAAGUCGGUGAACUCGAACUCGGAGCCUUGCGUGUCGGCGCCGAGCAGCUCGGCCUCCUCGGUGUCCAGGAAGGAUAAAGCCCAGCCUGAAACGACGUGUACCAGAUCUGCAGCUGCUGGGCUGAAAAGAUGGAGACUGGAAAACAUCCUUGUCCUGGGAAUAUUGUGCAGCAAAAGGAGGGGAAAAAAAAAAAAAACAAACCCAGAGAACACAGGAGUCACCACUUCUGCAGAGAGGCUGAAUUCAUCUUACUUUUAAGGGGAAUAAACUGUUCAGAGCAAAGCAUAACGGGGAGAAAGCAUGAAAUAACAUUUGAGGAUGAAAGUGCAACCGGAGGGGGGGGGAAAAAAAUAUAGUACAAAGCCAGGUGGAUGCUUGCUGCAAACACUUUUAUUUAUUAAUAAACACACCACACUCCAAACGUUUGGCUGCUUGACAGAAUCCUCAAAAAUCUUGGAAAGGGAUCAAAGUUCUGCUGCUCUGCCGGGUUCCUCUCCCUGUCCCUGCCACAGCUCGGGGAAUAACGGUGUGGAAAAGUCCCUCCUGUGCCAGCACGAGCCGGAUUUGUCCCCCGAGGGUGGCGUUGGGGACACUUCGGUGCUGCUGUCUGAGGUGCUGAAGCUGCAGAUCCCCCACCACGGCCUGCGUGGAGCUGGGAAAGCAGCUGGAAAACCAAACUGGUUUCAACUGGAGGUUGAAAUUCUCUUUAUACCAACGCGGCGCAGCGGCACGUGAAUUUCGGGAUAACUCUGCUUUAUUGCAACGCUGGAAGCUCCGGGGGCCACUUUGAAGCUUUUAAGGAUAAAAUGGAUGCACAGCCAGGCUACAGAGCUGCCAGGCUGUAUUUUUUUUUUUUUUUUUGCUUUUGUUUUUUUGGUGUUUUGUGCAAGUUUUCUCCCUCAAAUCCGCGCUGCUGCAGAGGAGAGGCUGUGACUCACCGGGCUUGACUGCUGUGCGGCCAGGAUGGAAUUUAAACAGGCAAAAACUGGCACAAUUCCCUGCUGAGUUUCCCCAUUCCCCGGGCAGGUCAGAAGCUGGGAUUCACAAGAAGAGAAGAAACGAAAAAAAAAAUUGGGAAUGAGUUUUUCCAGUGCAGCUGGGCCACUUCUCCUGAGUUACCACGAGAGGGACACAGAAGGAAAGCAAAAGGAGCUGGGAAAGAAAGAAUCCAAGGACCAGCUCGAGAUUUAAUUGGGGAUAAAUAUUCCCAGAACAAGUCACGGGGAUGUAACUCCAUGAAGGAAAAGGAGGAGAAGAAUUUUGGCCAAAAUCCAGGGAUUUUGAAUGAAGAAAGUUCUCAGAAAUUAAGGAUGGAUGAGGGCAGAGCAGAAGUCCUGGAAUGGAUGUGGACAAGACAUUCCAGUUCUAGGCCACCCUUCCUGGCUCCAGAUGAGAGCAUGGCUUUGCUGGAAGAGGGGAUUGCAAAAGGGGAUGUGAGGGAGGUCUGGAGAGCAAUAAUUUUAAACAGCACUUCAGCCAUGAUGUCAUUUCAGUUGAAAAAUAAUGUUCAAGCUUGGGCAAGCAGAGCCUGGGGCCAGCAGCCAGGGUGGGGAGGAACUGCAGCAAAAUGGAAAGUCCAAAGCAUGGAAGGUCAUGGUGGAAAACCAGAUCAGAAUAACCCUGAAAAAAGGUGGAUAAAACCCCUGGAAUUUUCUAUGAGCAUGAAGAUUCCAAGGAAAUGGAGGGGAGGAAGAUGUUCAAACCCUGGACAGGGGUUUUCACUCCUCUGUCUGGAAGCCAGAAGCCAAUCCUGGAGCACAGGAACAGCCUGAAGGAUUGUUGUGACCCCAAACUGUGAUCCCAGAGUGAUCCCGAGCUCUUCUGCUGGGAUUUAACCCAAAUCCAGCCCAAAUCUGCAUCCACCUCCUUGCCUGAGGAGGCCAAAAGGCUGAAACAACCAAGGGAUGUUGUUCCAUUAUGGUUUGGACAUCAAAAAUGCCAUCUAAAAACUGCUUUGUGGGGUUUCUCCCUCACAGGCUGAAAGGGAGGCUCGCCCUCAGGCCAGGCUGUAGGAUCAGCCCUUUCCAUGGGGUUUUAAGUGAAUUCCCACUAAUCCAGCCAUAGAAAGCUGAGGCUUGGUCAGCCUUGGAUAAAGCCUCGCACAUUUUGUCCUUUUUUCGUUCCCUGUUCCACCACAAACCUCAGCUGGGGAGGAAAAAACCCAACAAAGCAAGCAGAGGAAGGGGCACCUGCAGCUGGAAAUGACAAAAAGCUCCUGUUUUAGCAGGAGAUUUAGGACUUGGAGCUCCCCAGGAGCAACUUCUCUUCCCGCUGUGCUGGGAGCCAGGAAUGAGCUCAGGCUGUGAGAUCAGAUUUUGCUGAGUCUACAGGGUUAGCCUUGUUCUUUCCUCUUUUCCAGAAGUUCUCCUCUCCAAGCCAUGCCUGGAUAUUUGAUUUCCUUGGGAAAUCUCGGCCCUCUCAGCAGCUUUUGCUGCCUUUUGUGUCCGGGACGCUCAACUCUGCCAGCAGAAAAAGUUGCUUUUGUCAUUCCCGUUUCUCCACCUAAGGCGUGGGGUUCCUGGAAUCCCGUGAGCUUUUCCUGGAAGAAGUGGUGCAGGAAUGGCUUGUGCAGAAAGCACUCCAAGGCUGCAGAGAUGUCCAGGAGGCAGCUGGAAUUUAGGGAGAGCUCUUGGAAUUCUCUCUCCUGGUGGGUAUUUCUCUGGCUGUUGAUGAGCACCCAACGUGCUCUGGCUCGAGGGGAAGUUCAGGGAAGAGCCUGGCCCUGUGCUGGCCAAAAGGAAUUGGAAUUUUAUGGAGGGAACACUGCAAAAAUGCAGAGGAUUGACGUGGUCUCCAUCUGGAAUUCAAAUUAAGGGGAUUUGGGACCAUCACAAUCAGGCCAAACCUGUGCCCUCGCGAUUUUUGGGUAGGAAGAGCAGUUCAGAUGAAGCAAGGGCUGACUCUGGAUCUCUCCACAGCCCAUAAACCUGAAAAUUAUUAUGGAAAAAGGGCAGGUUUGCCCUUGAGGCUGUUUUUCAGCUCUGGGUGGGGUCGGGAGAAGGCAUUGCCAGCACUCUCCAGAGCCAGGUCAUUCCUGGGAGAUUUCUGGGGCUGAGAUUUUCUGGAAAACUCCAGAGGUUUGGGUCAGUCUCCAUCCUCCUUCUUUUCUGGAGAGCUUCCCAUCUCUUGUGAGCCUGCACACGCCGUUUUUCCAUUUCUCUGGAAGUGACCAAAAACCCCAAAACAACCCCAGAGCCUGGAUGAUGCUGAAUUUUCCUCUGAGCUCAUCGAGGAUGUCCAAAGCAGCACCAUUUGCAGAUGGGGCCAAGAAUCUGUAAUGUCUCAAAGCUGAGCAAAAUAAAACGUGUGUGAGAGAAGAGAUGGGUGAUAAGGGGAGCUGAGGGGGUGGGAGCCAGGAAAAAGAUGGAUUUGGGAGCCCAGUGCUUGUCCCAAAAGCCAUGAGGGGGUGAAAUGAGCAUUUCCACGAGUGCAGCUGUUUGUUUGAGCCUCUUUAAUGAAUUAUUUUGACUUACAUUUGUUAAUUACCUUCAGGAAGGAGCUGCAGCUCCAGACUGAGAAGAUUCUCCUGCAUGGAAGUGUUUCCCACUGUUCCCUAACUGCUGCAGGUUUUUAUUUCUGGAAUUUCUUCUCUUUCUUAUUUGGAAAUUCCAUCUUUUUAUUGGAGGAAAUCUCUCUCUGGAGAGAGACAAAGGACAGGGUGAGGAAUCCUGAGGGUGUCCCUGUCCUUGCCCAUGCCCAGAGCAUCUCUGUGCAUUCAUCCUGCUCACAGCCAGCAUUAUCCUUGCUGGAGAACCUCUGGAAUGCCUCAGGAAAUCCCUGGGAAGGGGGCACAGGGUGAGGAACUCACACACCAGGGGCUGUCCUGGGGUUGUCCCUCUCUGCUCAGCCCCCAGGAGCUGGGGUCCUCCCGUGCUCGGGAUUUUGGGAGCAGUUCCCAAAGGAAUUUAAAGCAGUUUUUGAGGAAGAAAACUUCCUUCUGGUGUGCUGGGGGUGAAAUAUCAGCUGAAAGGGGGACAGGCAAAAAGGAUCGAGACAAAGUUCUGCUCCACCACCCCCACAAGAGGAAGAAUUUGAUAAUAAAUCCAUUUUUUUGUUCAAGAUUCUCGUUUUGCCAAAGAACAACGAGACCACUUCAAAGAACAACGUGGAGAAUUUGCUGGUGCUUCCUCUACCCCUCUUUUCUUUGUGUCCUUCACAAAUCUCCCCCUUCCACAGCACAAAACCCCACCUGUCCUGGAGAGUUCUCAUUGUAAUUCAGAAAGGUUUUCUCCCCCAUUUUCCUAUAUAAGAAAAAACCCUUUUUCUUCACACAAGUGUUAAAUGACUCCUAUUAAAACCGAAUUUAAGUGAAUUUAAGUGAAUUUAAUCUUUUCCUGAGACGAGGCAGAGAAUAUUACAUUCAAUAAUCAAUUUAUUUCCCCCCUUUUCUCUGUCCCACUCAGUAUUUCCAGUUGGGAGAAAGGGAAUUAACACACAGUGAUCGAUCCUUUCUUCCUCUCCUUACAACUGAAAUCUCAUUUCCAGCAGGGAAAAGGUUUCUGUCUCCUGCCAAGAGCUGGCUGCAAAAUCAUUUGUACAGAGCACCUCUGAUCACUGGUGUCCUGAAAAGACCUGAUUGCUGGGUUUGCCUUUUUCCAGCUGUUAAAUUAUCCCAGAUAUCUUCCUGCUGGAUUUGUUGAGGGGUUUUUUAAUGGAAAAAGGGAAAAUUUGGAGGGGAAACCCAGCCCCUCUUGCAGUCAGUGAGAGGAAGAGGCAAGAGAUGUGGCAUUAAUUUGGAAUUAAUUAAUUAGAAGUUGGUUUUUGCUGUAUGUUCAGGAGUUUCGGGCAGGUUUCCUUAAGAAAAGCCCUGGCAUGGAAAAUCUCUGGAGUUCCCUUGGGAUGCCCACGGAAAGGGCAGCUCUGGGGGCAGCGUGGCCACAACUCCUGGGAAAUUCCCAGCUCCCCACUUCUCAUCCCCAUUUUCCCUGGGGGCUGUGCCCAACUCCAUCUCCAGGGGAUCCAUUCCUCAGCUCCCUGGGAAAAACAAGAUUUUCUCUGGAGUUCCAACCCAAAUAUUUCCCUUUCCCCCUGGAUUUGGCUGUGCUCCCUGUCCCUGUUUUUAGGGGUGAAUGUUGUCAGGUUCCUUGGGAUCCUCCCUGUGGAAAGGAGAGAUGGAAGCUCUGUCCUGGAUGCCCCCAGCUGUGCAGCAACCUGAGGACACCAGAUCCUCAUCCGAGCCAUCCUUGGGGUCACAGAAAUGCCACUUUCCCUACACAAAAUGUGGAUUUUUGCUCAGCUCCAGCAGCGAGGAGAUCCCCAGGAUCCCUGAGCUCCAGGGCUCUGCCUGUCCAGCGCUCAGUGCCAGAUGUUCCUUUGGAGUUAAUAAUUCUUGGGACGCGUUCAAAGCCAGCUCAAUGCUCCCAAAGAGAGGUCCCAAAGCUAUUAAAGCGUGGACGUGCUGUCUGCCCACCUCCACCGUGAUCUCAGAGCCCUGAGCACUUCCAGUCCUGCCUGCGAGGAGCCAAUUCCUGUUUACUCCUGCCUGGAGACCCCUGGCUUCCAAAAUUCAGGAGCUUUGACCACAGAGAUCAAUGGGAUGCAUCAUUUAGGGGAAAAGGAAAAGCCAGGCUGCUUCGAAGAGCUUUUGUUUUUAAGCUCUGCCAUCCCAGGGAGUUUUGGGAACGCGGAGCAGUAAAUCUGUGUUAUUGUCAUUAUGAGUCUGGGAAGUGUUUUUCAGGAGAAAAUCCCAAAAAAGAAAGGGAGAUCACAGCCAAAGGACUUUUAGUGGGAAAAGCUGAAGACUCUGGGCAUUAAAGUCCCAACAAUUCCCAGCAAGCAGCGAUGGCUUCGCUCUCUCAUCGCUUUGCACCUCUCUCAGACAAAACAUCCCUCAGCCUUCCCCGAUUUUCCAGUACAAUUCCAGUUAAUUAUUCCCGGUUUCCUCAGCGUGUCUGAGCUCCCGCUGGCUGCUGGAGGAAGAGGAGCUCAUUGUUACCAAUGAGCCUAAUCCAGAGCUCGAAAUCUUUUAUUAUCCCUGCUAGAAAACACCGUGAAUAGCGAAGGAAAAAAUGCGAGGCCGUUUCCUGCGGGGUUUUCAGCGCCCUCCGGGGGCUGGGAUUGCGCCAUGGAUGGUGCUGGGUGGCUCUGGCUCAUUCCCACAUUCCCACAUCCCCAUCUGCAGGGCUCCUUCCCGGGCAGGACGGGACACAGCUCCUCCCGACCCCAGCCUCCCCUGGCAUUUGUCACCCUCUGUCCCUGCCAGGGGUGGGGGGCGAGUUUGGGGCACUGUGGGAGCCCAGCACACCCCUCUGGCUGCCCUGGCUGGCUGAGACCCUGGCAGGGGGCUCGGGGACCUUGGCACCAAGUCAA
Molecule: long non-coding RNA, 6327 nt
Organism: Vidua chalybeata
Lineage: Eukaryota; Metazoa; Chordata; Aves; Passeriformes; Viduidae
Exons: 5
Source: RefSeq, a predicted model, not a curated record